This is a long non-coding RNA of Xiphophorus hellerii (green swordtail), 1332 nucleotides long. RefSeq lists it as uncharacterized. The record is from RefSeq and is a predicted model, not a curated record. Lineage: Eukaryota; Metazoa; Chordata; Actinopteri; Cyprinodontiformes; Poeciliidae. The transcript is spliced from 3 exons.
AAAAAAAACAACAACAAAAAAUCACAAGCUGAGCUUAAGAGAAACAAACAUAUAAUGUCUUGCAAAAAUAAUUCCCUUUUCCUUUUCACAGUUUGUCUCAUUAUAAACACAAAUGGCGGCGUUUAGGAACAAAGAGGAGCUUAAUUAUAAAUCAUAAGGAGAAUGAUGCAAUGAUUUCAACAUAUUUUACAAAUAUAUGUGAAAUUUCAAAGGGAAUUUAUAAUCAGCCACCCUGAGUCAAUACUUUGCAGAAUCAAAUUUAGUCUUUAAACUUUUUACAUCUUUAGAUUAAUGCCUCCUGCCCUUUAUUGUACAUAAAAAACAGGGCUGGGACUUUACCGUGUUAAUUUUGAUUAUUACAUAGAUUUUAACACAUUAAAAAUGUCAAUUUCUUUGUCACAAGUAUUUAUUUUUUUCCAGGGGAAACCUUCGUAUUUGCUCGUUUCUGAUACGCCUGUAAAUUUGAUGCAGAAGAGAAAUCUGGAAAUGUCAGAGCCGACAGCCCACAUUACUAAAGUUUUCUUUUUUUAAAAAAAAAGCUGCCCAAAUGAUCGGGGAUUUCUGAAAUACUCAUUGAAUAGCAGAUUAAAAUCUAUAAAUAUCUUUGUUGUUCAUGUAUAUAAAAGCAAUUAAUUGCACUUAAUUACAGAACCUGUGAUUAACUACUAAAAAUAAAGUCCCACCACUAAUAAAAACACCUCAAGUUCAGUCAGAUUGGGUGGAGAGCUUGAACAACAAUAUCAAAGUCCUGCCAUGGAUUCUUAUUAAGAUUUAGAUCUAGAGUUUGACCAUUUUAACAUAUAAAAAUGUUUUUGAUCUAAACACUUCUAUUGCUGUAUAUCGAGUGUCGUUCUGCUGGAAGCUCAAGUCGUUAGCAGCCUCUAACAGGUUUUCCUCCAGGAUUUUCCUGGACUUAACUCCAUCCAUCUUCCUAUUAACUGUGACCCGCUUCCCUGUCUCUGCAGAAGAAAAGCAUCCCGACAGCACAAUGCUGCCAACAGUGUUUCACCUUGAGAAUCGUGUGUUUAUGGUGACGAGAAAGGCCGCACAAGGCAUUCGGCAUGUUGUCCAAAAAGCCGGGCAAACGCUCUGAACUGGGUCCAAUCAAACUUUUGACGUUGCGUAUCAAACACGACUCCAAAGGUGGACACAACACGGUAGAAGUCUGCCUCCUCACGACGCGUCCACCUGAAAAAAGAUAAAAACAAAUACCCAUAAGGGAUCCAUCAGACAUCAGGGAGUUGGCCGUCAUCACUGGCGAAGCCUCUGGCAGAAACUGACUACCUUUGGCAAAAUAAGCGCUUCCUUUAGCCAAAUAUGGGCUUCCGUCUG